AUAUCAUUAAGCGGAGGAAAAGAAACUAACAAGGAUGCCCCUAGUAACGGCGAGUGAAGCGGGCAAAGCUCAAGUUGAAAAUCGGGGCUCCUUUGGGGUUUCGAAUUGUAGUCUAGAGACGCAGCGUCAGCAAUAGCCCCUGGUAUAAAUCUUUUGAAACAAGGUAUCAUAGAGGGUGAGAAUCCCGUCUUUGACUAGGAGCGCUAUGCGUACGACCUGUGUUCGCAGAGUCGGGUUGCUUGGGAUUGCAGCUCAAAAUGGGUGGUAAAUUUCAUCUAAAGCUAAAUAUCGACGAGAGACCGAUAGCAAACAAGUACCGUGAGGGAAAGAUGAAAAGAACUUUGAAAAGAGAGUUAAAAAGUACUUGAAAUUGUUAAGAGGGAAGCACUGGAAACCAGUCGUGCUCUGUGCCAUAUUUAUUGUCGGCUGGCCAAGAGAUGUGUUUCGCAGAUCGCAAGGCUGCGGGGUGUAUCUGGAGGUUGGUUGGCGAGUUCUGUGGUAUGGAGUGAGUCAGAAUGAGUUCGCUGUGCGGGAGAAAGCUAGCUUGGACGGUAGGGCUGAGGGGGCAACUCCAAGGCCUGAAGCCGGUUAGUGCUACCGUGUGGCGGACUGA
This 613-nucleotide ribosomal RNA is filed under the name uncultured fungus. RNAcentral describes it as "eukaryotic LSU rRNA". It matches the Rfam family "Eukaryotic large subunit ribosomal RNA", at positions 40 to 630 of the family's 3401-position model. The record is from RNAcentral. Lineage: Eukaryota; Fungi.